This 253-nucleotide ribosomal RNA is filed under the name uncultured bacterium. RNAcentral's name for it is "partial 16S ribosomal RNA". It matches the Rfam family "Bacterial small subunit ribosomal RNA", at positions 524 to 776 of the family's 1533-position model. The record is from RNAcentral.
GACGUAGGGUGCGAGCGUUGUCCGGAUUUAUUGGGCGUAAAGAGCGUGUAGGCGGCCUGGUAGGUCUGCUGUGAAAACUCGAGGCUCAACCUCGAGAUGUCGGCGGAAACCAUCUGGCUAGAGUCCGGAAGAGGAGAGUGGAAUUCCUGGUGUAGCGGUGAAAUGCGCAGAUAUCAGGAAGAACACCUAUGGCGAAGGCAGCUCUCUGGGACGGUACUGACGCUGAGACGCGAAAGCGUGGGGAGCGAACAGG